AGAGUUUGAUCCUGGCUCAGGAUGAACGCUAGCGGCAGGCUUAACACAUGCAAGUCGAGGGGUAACAUUGUAACUUGGUACCUAUGACGACCGGGGCACGGGUGCGUAACGCGUAUAUAACCUACCUUUUGCAGAGGGAUAUCCUUUUUAAAUGAAAAUUAAUACCUUAUGGUAUUAUAGACUGGGGUCUCUUUAUAAUUUAAGAUUUAUCGGUAAAAGAUGGCUAUGCGUCCUAUUAGUUAGAUGGUGAGGUAACGGCUUACCAUGACAUCGAUAGGUAGGGGUCCUGAGAGGGAGAUCCCCCACACUGGUACUGAGACACGGACCAGACUCCUACGGGAGGCAGCAGUGAGGAAUAUUGGGCAAUGGAGGCAACUCUGAUCCAGCCAUGCCGCGUGCAGGAAGACGGCCCUAUGGGUUGUAAACUGCUUUUAUACAGGAAGAAACACUAGUACGUGUACUAGCUUGACGGUACUGUAAGAAUAAGGACCGGCUAACUCCGUGCCAGCAGCCGCGGUAAUACGGAGGGUCCGAGCGUUAUCCGGAAUCAUUGGGUUUAAAGGGUCCGCAGGCGGUCAAUUAAGUCAGAGGUGAAGUACCAUAGCUCAACUAUGGAACUGCCUUUGAUACUGGUUGACUUGAGUCAUAUGGAAGUAGAUAGAAUGUGUAGUGUAGCGGUGAAAUGCAUAGAUAUUACACAGAAUACCGAUUGCGAAGGCAGUCUACUACGUAUGUACUGACGCUGAGGGACGAAAGCGUGGGGAGUGAACAGGAUUAGAUACCCUGGUAGUCCACGCCGUAAACGAUGGAUACUAGUUGUUGGGCAUUAUCUCAGUGACUAAGCGAAAGUGAUAAGUAUCCCACCUGGGGAGUACGGUCGCAAGACUGAAACUCAAAGGAAUUGACGGGGGCCCGCACAAGCGGUGGAGCAUGUGGUUUAAUUCGAUGAUACGCGAGGAACCUUACCAGGGCUUAAAUGUAGUCUGACAGCUUUAGAGACAGAGUUUUCUUCGGACAGAUUACAAGGUGCUGCAUGGUUGUCGUCAGCUCGUGCCGUGAGGUGUCAGGUUAAGUCCUAUAACGAGCGCAACCCCUGUCGUUAGUUGCCAGCAUGUUAUGAUGGGGACUCUAACGAGACUGCCUACGCAAGUAGUGAGGAAGGUGGGGAUGACGUCAAAUCAUCACGGCCCUUACGUCCUGGGCCACACACGUGCUACAAUGGUAUGGACAAUGAGCAGCCAUCUGGCAACCGAGAGCGAAUCUACAAACCAUAUCACAGUUCGGAUCGGAGUCUGCAACUCGACUCCGUGAAGCUGGAAUCGCUAGUAAUCGGAUAUCAGCCAUGAUCCGGUGAAUACGUUCCCGGGCCUUGUACACACCGCCCGUCAAGCCAUGGAAGCUGGGAGUGCCUGAAGUCGGUCACCGCAAGGAGCCGCCUAGGGUAAAACUGGUAACUAGGGCUAAGUCGUAACAAGGUA
RNAcentral lists this ribosomal RNA (1478 nucleotides) under uncultured bacterium. Its description in RNAcentral is "bacterial SSU rRNA". It matches the Rfam family "Bacterial small subunit ribosomal RNA". The record is from RNAcentral.